CGCUUUUGGAUGGGCCCGCGGCGCAUUAGCUAGUUGGUGGGGUAAAGGCUUACCAAGGCAAUGAUGCGUAGCCGAACUGAGAGGUUGAUCGGCCACAUUGGGACUGAGACACGGCCCAAACUCCUACGGGAGGCAGCAGUAGGGAAUCUUCCACAAUGGGCGAAAGCCUGAUGGAGCAACGCCGCGUGGGUGAAGAAGGUCUUCGGAUCGUAAAACCCUGUUGUUAGAGAAGAAAGUGCGUGAGAGUAACUGUUCACGUUUCGACGGUAUCUAACCAGAAAGCCACGGCUAACUACGUGCCAGCAGCCGCGGUAAUACGUAGGUGGCAAGCGUUAUCCGGAUUUAUUGGGCGUAAAGGGAACGCAGGCGGUCUUUUAAGUCUGAUGUGAAAGCCUUCGGCUUAACCGGAGUAGUGCAUUGGAAACUGGGAGACUUGAGUGCAGAAGAGGAGAGUGGAACUCCAUGUGUAGCGGUGAAAUGCGUAGAUAUAUGGAAGAACACCAGUGGCGAAAGCGGCUCUCUGGUCUGUAACUGACGCUGAGGUUCGAAAGCGUGGGUAGCAAACAGGAUUAGAUACCCUGGUAGUCCACGCCGUAAACGAUGAAUGCUAAGUGUUGGAGGGUUUCCGC
This 629-nucleotide ribosomal RNA is filed under the name uncultured bacterium. Its description in RNAcentral is "bacterial SSU rRNA". It matches the Rfam family "Bacterial small subunit ribosomal RNA", at positions 216 to 837 of the family's 1533-position model. The record is from RNAcentral.